Molecule: non-coding RNA, 93 nt
Organism: Microvirga sp.
Lineage: Bacteria; Pseudomonadati; Pseudomonadota; Alphaproteobacteria; Hyphomicrobiales; Methylobacteriaceae
Source: Rfam
GCCAAGGCUUUUGACGAGCUUGGCUCUUCGGGCGCCGGUGGUGUCCGGCGCUCUUGUGGUUACGUUGCUCUAAGGAGGAUGUGGCUAUGAGAA